UCCCCCGGUGUGAUAGCUCC
RNAcentral lists this microRNA (20 nucleotides) under Bombyx mori (domestic silkworm). RNAcentral describes it as "bmo-miR-2724". The record is from miRBase by way of RNAcentral. Lineage: Eukaryota; Metazoa; Arthropoda; Insecta; Lepidoptera; Bombycidae.